GAUGAACGCUGGCGGCGUGCCUAAUACAUGCAAGUCGAGCGAACAGACGAGGAGCUUGCUCCUCUGACGUUAGCGGCGGACGGGUGAGUAACACGUGGAUAACCUAUCUAUAAGACUGGGAUAACUUCGAGAAACCGGAGCUAAUACCGGAUAAUAUAUUGAACCGCAUGGUUCAAUAGUGAAAGACGGUUUUGCUGUCACUUAUAGAUGGAUCCGCGCCGCAUUAGCUAGUUGGUAAGGUAACGGCUUACCAAGGCAACGAUGCGUAGCCGACCUGAGAGGGUGAUCGGCCACACUGGAACUGAGACACGGUCCAGACUCCUACGGGAGGCAGCAGUAGGGAAUCUUCCGCAAUGGGCGAAAGCCUGACGGAGCAACGCCGCGUGAGUGAUGAAGGUCUUCGGAUCGUAAAACUCUGUUAUUAGGGAAGAACAAAUGUGUAAGUAACUAUGCACGUCUUGACGGUACCUAAUCAGAAAGCCACGGCUAACUACGUG
RNAcentral lists this ribosomal RNA (497 nucleotides) under uncultured bacterium. Its description in RNAcentral is "partial 16S ribosomal RNA". It matches the Rfam family "Bacterial small subunit ribosomal RNA", at positions 28 to 507 of the family's 1533-position model. The record is from RNAcentral.